This is a non-coding RNA of Trichonephila clavipes, 71 nucleotides long. NCBI's taxonomy places the organism in Eukaryota, Metazoa, Arthropoda, Arachnida, Araneae, Nephilidae. The record is from the annotation of a GenBank genome assembly.
GGGGGAUAUAGCUCAGUGGUAAAGUAUUCGACUGCCGAUUGAGCGGUCUCCGGUUCUAACCCGAGUUCCCU